This 460-nucleotide ribosomal RNA is filed under the name uncultured bacterium. RNAcentral's name for it is "partial 16S ribosomal RNA". It matches the Rfam family "Bacterial small subunit ribosomal RNA", at positions 338 to 795 of the family's 1533-position model. The record is from RNAcentral.
CCUACGGGAGGCAGCAGUGAGGAAUAUUGGUCAAUGGGCGUAAGCCUGAACCAGCCAAGUAGCGUGAGGGAUGAAGGUUCUAUGGGUCGUAAACCUCUUUUAUAAAGGAAUAAAGUGCGGGACGUGUCCCUUUUUGUAUGUACUUUAUGAAUAAGGAUCGGCUAACUCCGUGCCAGCAGCCGCGGUAAUACGGAGGAUCCGAGCGUUAUCCGGAUUUAUUGGGUUUAAAGGGUGCGUAGAUGGCUUGUUAAGUCAGCGGUGAAAGUCUGUGGCUCAACCGUAGAAUUGCCGUUGAAACUGGGAGGCUUGAGUAUGUUUGAGGCAGGCGGAAUGCGUGGUGUAGCGGUGAAAUGCUUAGAUAUCACGCAGAACCCCGAUUGCGAAGGCAGCCUGCUAAGCCACGACUGACGCUGAUGCACGAAAGUGUGGGUAUCAAACAGGAUUAGAUACCCGGGUAGUC